Molecule: long non-coding RNA, 717 nt
Filed under: Buteo japonicus
Lineage: Eukaryota; Metazoa; Chordata; Aves; Accipitriformes; Accipitridae
Description: lncRNA (ENSBJAG00000001204.1)
Source: RNAcentral
GACUGAGCAGGAAAAAACACAACCGUGUGGAAAAGACUCAAGGAUGGGGAAAGAGCCGAGGCGUGGGAUGGGGAAACCCUUGGUGCCUUUCAGGUGGUGGCUGGGGAAGACCUUGACCACCCUUUGGGUUGCCUCAUGGCUCUUCCUCCUCUUCAGCCUGUGCUGGCUGCAAGCUGUGUCCCCAGGACUGGCAGCUCCACGGGGACAGAUGCUACCGGCUUUCCAAGGAAACAGGGAACUGGAAUCAAGGCAAGAAAGGCUGCGAAAAUCAGGGGUCUCAGCUGGCAAUGCUCUGGGACAAGAAAGAAGAGGAGUACAUCAAGAAUAUUACAGGCGGACGCACGCAGCCGGUGUGGAUUGGAUUACUAUCAUCGCGCAGGAAAUGGAGAUGGGUGGACAACACACCCCUCAACACCAAAAUGCUUCGCAACCUGCAGGAGAUGGAUGAAGGGUGUGGGACACUGAAAAACAAAAUGUUGGAGGUCGACAGCUGUAACGCUGAACACGAGUGGGUUUGCCAGAAACACCCUUUCCAGCUCUCCCCAUCGACGGCAGGAGGUGGAGAGAAAUGCGAUGCCUCCGUCUGACAUGUGCCCAUCCCAAAAUGCCCAGCCUGUGAGACGCUUGCCGCCAAUAUUUGGGGUAAAGCCAGCCCCAUCUUCACCGUUACGGUCCUGUGAGAGAUUUCAAGGUUUGCAAAUGCAUUUCCCACACAGG